Molecule: unclassified non-coding RNA, 370 nt
Filed under: uncultured Malassezia
Lineage: Eukaryota; Fungi; Basidiomycota; Malasseziomycetes; Malasseziales; Malasseziaceae
Description: sequence contains ITS2
Source: RNAcentral
AACGCACCUUGCGCUCUAUGGCAAUCCGUAGAGCAUGCCUGUUUGAGUGCCAUGAAAUCUCCCACCCCAAGCGGUUUUUAAAUGAAACGGCUUGGCGGAAUGGGGUCUGGAUGGGUGCCUCUGCCUGCGCUACCUAGCACAGGCUCGCCCGAAAUGCAUGAGCGCCUUGAGACACUUUGCAUCCGCCUCUCUGUUUGGGAGGAGGCGGCCAAGCAGUGUUUUUCUCCUGGCAUGGCAUGAUACGUCAUUUGCUAUGUCGCCUAAAGGAGGAAUGUUUGGUUGUGUCUGCGUGUGCUUCGAACUUGCCUCUGUGGCACAUCCCAAUUUCACUUCUGGUCUCAAAUCAGGUAGGAUCACCCGCUGAACUUAA